RNAcentral lists this long non-coding RNA (274 nucleotides) under Malus domestica (apple). Its description in RNAcentral is "long non-coding RNA (MDOM_LNC006064)". Lineage: Eukaryota; Viridiplantae; Streptophyta; Magnoliopsida; Rosales; Rosaceae. The record is from RNAcentral.
AACUUAUUCGUUUGAUUAAUUAACAUAUUAAUUAAUCCUUGCCAUAAAUAAUUAAACCAUUUAGUUAUUCUUACUCAUCUCCAUUGUUUCUUCAAUCUCCACCUUACACGGUGUACGAUCCAUUAGGUUCCUUUUAGCGAGCCAGUGGGCGAUUAGAACUCUUUCAAAUCGAUUGUGAACUGAAACUUACUUUCAAUUCUCCCUUUAGUGUUUUUACACGUUUAGGGCUUCCACAAACCAAGAGUGACACCUAGCAGCAUAUCAUGGUUACCCA